GCCGUCAUGGUGUAACGCGGUCAAGCAUCGACGUCCUUCGAACGUCGGGCGCCGGUUCGACUCCGGCUGACGGCA
RNAcentral lists this transfer RNA (75 nucleotides) under Methanobacteriota archaeon. RNAcentral's name for it is "Euryarchaeota archaeon tRNA-Glu". It matches the Rfam family "tRNA". Rfam says of the family: Transfer RNA (tRNA) molecules are approximately 80 nucleotides in length. The record is from RNAcentral. Lineage: Archaea; Methanobacteriati; Methanobacteriota.